GAUGAACGCUAGCUACAGGCUUAACACAUGCAAGUCGUGGGGAAACGGCAUUAUGUGCUUGCACAUUCUGGACGUCGACCGGCGCACGGGUGAGUAUCGCGUAUCCAACCUGCCCCUUACUUGGGGAUACCCCGUUGAAAGACGGCCUAAUACCCGAUGUGUUUCAUUGACGGCAUCCGAUAUGAAACAAAGGUUUUUCCGGUAAGGGAUGGGGAUGCGUCUGAUUAGCUUGUUGGCGGGGCAACGGCCCACCAAGGCGACGAUCAGUAGGGGUUCUGAGAGGAAGGUCCCCCACAUUGGAACUGAGACACGGUCCAAACUCCUACGGGAGGCAGCAGUGAGGAAUAUUGCGCAAUGGGGGCAACCCUGACGCAGCAAUACCGCGUGAGUGAAGAAGGUUUUCGGAUCGUAAAGCUCUGUUAUUGGGGAAGAAGCAGUGACGGUACCCAAUGAGGAAGUCCCGGCUAACUACGUGCCAGCAGCCGCGGUAAUACGUAGGGGACGAGCGUUGUCCGGAAUCACUGGGCGUAAAGGGCGCGUAGGCGGUUUUAUAAGUCAGAUGUGAAAGGUACCGGCUCAACCGGUGACGUGCUUUUGAAAACUGUAAGACUUGAGUACUGAAGAAGCAAGCGGAAUUCCU
RNAcentral lists this ribosomal RNA (640 nucleotides) under uncultured Actinomycetales bacterium. Its description in RNAcentral is "bacterial SSU rRNA". It matches the Rfam family "Bacterial small subunit ribosomal RNA", at positions 28 to 671 of the family's 1533-position model. The record is from RNAcentral. Lineage: Bacteria; Bacillati; Actinomycetota; Actinomycetes; Actinomycetales.